This 77-nucleotide transfer RNA is filed under the name Kandleria vitulina. RNAcentral describes it as "tRNA-Arg". It matches the Rfam family "tRNA". From Rfam's summary of the family: Transfer RNA (tRNA) molecules are approximately 80 nucleotides in length. Their secondary structure includes four short double-helical elements and three loops (D, anti-codon, and T loops). Further hydrogen bonds mediate the characteristic L-shaped molecular structure. tRNAs have two regions of fundamental functional importance: the anti-codon, which is responsible for specific mRNA codon recognition, and the 3' end, to which the tRNAs corresponding amino acid is attached (by aminoacyl-tRNA synthetases). tRNAs cope with the degeneracy of the genetic code in two manners: having more than one tRNA (with a specific anti-codon) for a particular amino acid; and 'wobble' base-pairing, i.e. permitting non-standard base-pairing at the 3rd anti-codon position. RNAcentral also lists the same sequence under 1 other name. The record is from RNAcentral. Lineage: Bacteria; Bacillati; Bacillota; Erysipelotrichia; Erysipelotrichales; Coprobacillaceae.
GUCUACUUAGCUCAGCUGGAUAGAGCACACGCCUUCUAAGCGUGCGGUCGGGGGUUCGAAUCCCUCAGUGGACGCCA